This 464-nucleotide ribosomal RNA is filed under the name uncultured bacterium. RNAcentral's name for it is "bacterial SSU rRNA". It matches the Rfam family "Bacterial small subunit ribosomal RNA", at positions 28 to 507 of the family's 1533-position model. The record is from RNAcentral.
GAUGAACGCUGGCGGCGUGCCUAACACAUUCAAGUCGAACGGACAUAGAGGUGCUUGCACCUUUAUGUUAGUGGCGGACGGGUGAGUAACGCGUGAGUAACCUGCCUAUACGAGUGGAAUAACACAGGGAAACUUGUGCUAAUACCGCAUAAUAUGUAUUAAUCGCAUGUUUGAUACAUCAAAGAGCAAUCGCGUAUAGAUGGACUCGCGUCUGAUUAGAUAGUUGGUGAGGUAACGGCUCACCAAGUCGACGAUCAGUAGCCGAACUGAGAGGUUGAACGGCCACAUUGGGACUGAGACACGGCCCAAACUCCUACGGGAGGCAGCAGUGGGGAAUAUUGCACAAUGGGGGAAACCCUGAUGCAGCAACGCCGCGUGAGUGAAGAAGUAUUUCGGUAUGUAAAGCUCUAUCAGCAGGGAAGAAAAUGACGGUACCUGACUAAGAAGCCCCGGCUAACUACGUG